This is a non-coding RNA of Plutella xylostella (diamondback moth), 190 nucleotides long. The record is from RefSeq and is a predicted model, not a curated record. Lineage: Eukaryota; Metazoa; Arthropoda; Insecta; Lepidoptera; Plutellidae.
UUGAAAAUAUACCAGUAGAAGAAAUAGUUCCUCAUUAGGAAACUUGUUUCUAGUUUCCACGCAGAUGAUUUUGACAAAAAUGAGGCUUGCGCGUACUUAACUGUGCCGUGUGAUAGCUCGGCGUACCUGCGCAGUUGUAACGGUGGUGAUACUUGCGCGUGUCGUAGGCCUUUAAGGCAAGCAAUUUUUU